This 99-nucleotide transfer RNA is filed under the name Hypoxylon sp. FL0543. RNAcentral describes it as "tRNA-Leu". It matches the Rfam family "tRNA". Rfam says of the family: Transfer RNA (tRNA) molecules are approximately 80 nucleotides in length. Their secondary structure includes four short double-helical elements and three loops (D, anti-codon, and T loops). Lineage: Eukaryota; Fungi; Ascomycota; Sordariomycetes; Xylariales; Hypoxylaceae. The record is from RNAcentral.
GGUGAGAUGGCCGAGUUGGUUAUGGCGUAGGAUUAAGGUGUUCUCUUCAUCUAAAUUCCUAUGGAGCAAUCCGCGUGGGUUCAAGUCCCACUCUCAUCA